UGGCAAACAUUGGCCAUCAGGCGGAGCUACAAAUAUGAAAAUUCUUUAUCUCAUGAAGGGCUCGUGCAAUUUUUACACUACUUGGAGGGUACUCUGAAGGCCACCCCUACAGUGGGGUACUGAUUGGUCAAAGUGGGCCAUGGGACCCAU
Molecule: long non-coding RNA, 150 nt
Organism: Etheostoma spectabile (orangethroat darter)
Lineage: Eukaryota; Metazoa; Chordata; Actinopteri; Perciformes; Percidae
Exons: 3
Source: RefSeq, a predicted model, not a curated record